AGAGUUUGAUCAUGGCUCAGAACAAACGCUGGCGGCGUGUCUUAAGCAUGCAAGUUGAGCGGCAAGGGGGAGCGAUCCCCCCUAGAGCGGCGGACUGGUGAGUAACACGUGGAUGAUCUACCCGAGGCAUGGGGAUAGUCACUAGAAAUAGUGGGUAAUACCGAAUACGGUGCGCAUCGUGAGGGUGCGCAAGAAAGGUGCUACGGCACCGGCCUAGGAUGAGUCUGCGUCCCAUUAGCUGGUUGGUGAGGUAAGAGCCCACCAAGGCGAUGAUGGGUAGCCGGCCUGAGAGGGUGUACGGCCACACUGGGACUGAGAUACGGCCCAGACUCCUACGGGAGGCAGCAGCUAAGAAUAUUCCGCAAUGGACGAAAGUCUGACGGAGCGACGCCGCGUGGAUGAAGAAGGCCGAAAGGUUGUAAAGUUCUUUUGUUGGGGAAGAAUAACCAUGGGAGGGAAUGCCCGUGGGAUGACAUGAACCGACGAAUAAGCCCCGGCUAACUACGUGCCAGCAGCCGCGGUAACACGUAGGGGGCGAGCGUUGUUCGGAAUUACUGGGCGUAAAGGGCAUGUAGGCGGUCUUGUAAGCUUGGCGUGAAAGACCACGGCUCAACCGUGGGAUUGCGUUGAGAACUGCGAGGCUUGAGUGACGGAGAGGGAGCUAGAAUUCCUGGUGUAGGGGUGGAAUCUGUAGAGAUCAGGAAGAAUACCAAUGGCGAAGGCAAGCUCCUGGCCGAUGACUGACGCUGAGGUGCGAAAGUGUGGGGAUCAAACAGGAUUAGAUACCCUGGUAGUCCACACUGUAAACGAUGUGCACUAGGUGCUGGUACGGAUGUAUCAGUGCCGUAGCUAACGUGAUAAGUGCACCGCCCUGGGGGAGUAUGCUCGCAAGG
Molecule: ribosomal RNA, 893 nt
Filed under: uncultured bacterium
Lineage: Bacteria
Description: bacterial SSU rRNA
Rfam family: Bacterial small subunit ribosomal RNA
Source: RNAcentral